UUUAACAUGAGAGUUUGAUCCUGGCUCAGGAUGAACGCUGGCGGCGUGCUUAACACAUGCAAGUCGAACGGAGUAAUUAAAGUAGCUUGCUACAUUAAUUACUUAGUGGCGGACGGGUGAGUAACGCGU
RNAcentral lists this ribosomal RNA (129 nucleotides) under Defluviitalea raffinosedens. RNAcentral describes it as "partial 16S ribosomal RNA". It matches the Rfam family "Bacterial small subunit ribosomal RNA", at positions 1 to 118 of the family's 1533-position model. Lineage: Bacteria; Bacillati; Bacillota; Clostridia; Lachnospirales; Defluviitaleaceae. RNAcentral also lists the same sequence under 1 other name. The record is from RNAcentral.